GGAAGUUCCCAGGUUAGGUGUCGAAUCAGAGCUGCAGCUGACAGCCUAUACCACAGCCACAGCAACUCAGGAUCCCAGCCACAUCUGCCACAUACACCACAGCUCACUGCAACGCUGGAUCCUUAACCCACUGAGGGAGGCCAGGGAUUGAACCUGCAUCCUCACGGAUACUAGUCAGGUUCAUUACAACUGAGCCACAGUGGUAACUCCUCUAGUUUAGUUUCACUUUUUAUUUCUAAAUUUUUAUUGUCCUUAUGUUUUGUUUUGUUUUUCUAGCUUUGUUGGGCUCCCUGGCCUUCCUGGCUCUCAGUUUUUGUCACAGCCAGUAGUGACACUGACACAGACCCACCUUUCCCUCCUGAGCCAGGCAGCUGGAUUCUCUCAUAUUUUUCUCUGCUUUAUCCUCAAGGAUUCUCUACAAUAUUCACAAGCAGGAAUAUCCAGUCUUCAUUCAGAUCUAUUUCCUCACUGGUCCUGAUCCAGACCCCGGUCAAAGGCAACCCAGGACGGU
RNAcentral lists this long non-coding RNA (511 nucleotides) under Sus scrofa (pig). RNAcentral's name for it is "lncRNA (ENSSSCG00070026879.1)". The record is from RNAcentral. Lineage: Eukaryota; Metazoa; Chordata; Mammalia; Artiodactyla; Suidae.